GGGCAGAUGGCCGAGUGGUUAAGGCGCCAGAUUUAGGCUCUGGUCUCGCAAGAGGCGUGGGUUCGAGCCCCACUCUGCUCA
Zopfochytrium polystomum is the source of this 81-nucleotide non-coding RNA. The record is from the annotation of a GenBank genome assembly. Lineage: Eukaryota; Fungi; Chytridiomycota; Chytridiomycetes; Chytridiales; Chytridiaceae.